AAUGGUGGUGGGGGGGGUGGGCUCAGUGGAGAGGCGUCCCCAUAUACAACAUGCUUCAUGACGUUGCAUUACCAGUGGCUCCUUGAUGCUGUGGGGGGGUGGGGGGUACGGGUAAGCUGUCCCUUUUCAGUUCUUUGAGGCCUUAACUAAGCUGCAGGCAUCGGAGCGACUCUACCUCCCGCCCGUUGGAUAAACUGAACCAAGGAUACCUCACCUGGAUAAUCUGGUGACUACCUUUGGCUGUGUUGGAAGCGGACUGACUUCCUUAGUCCGUCUGGAGGCCGCCCCAGGGAGCCGCGCCCACGCUCAGGCCCAUUUAAGGUGAUGGAGACUUGGCAUCCUGAAACUUCGUCUGCAGCUGUUCGGAAGUCCCACAAGAUCUCCCCGUCGCAUCAAUCAAGGAAGCCUCUCCACACUCCGGACCGCGUCGUUUGUAUCUGGGACCGUCCAAGGAGCUGGAAAAAGGAGCCAAACCAUCUGAAAGCUCAAUGCCUCCAGCUUGCCGCAGCCUAACGGGAAGAAGACAGAGCCUCUCCCCUGUGCUUGGUGUGGGCAAGGCAGGCCUCUGAGAGAUUUCCUGGCGCCAGGUUCAUGGAAGCAACCACGAGCAGCAGAGCCCACACUGGUCUGCGCCACCCUGGCCUUGGAGUUGGAAGGGGGUGCUGGCCAAUUUUAGUCCUUCUGCCCCCCUUCUGGCUUGGUCCAAGUUGGGAAUUUAGAGUCUGGAAUCCAGAAAACUCGCCUGUGAACUUAAAUGUAGAAUUACUAUUUGAUCCUGUAGUUCUACUCCCGGGACAUCCCCCCACCCCCUGAAGAACGGACAGCGGGGCUCAAACAGAUGUUUGUCCACACAUGCUGUUGGCGCCAUGAUUCUGAAUAGCCCAAAGGUGGAGAACAAAAGGAGGAUCAACAAAACGCGGCAUCACACACACACACACAGACACACACACAUACACACACAGACAGACACACACAGACACACACACACAGACACACACAGACACACAUACACACACAGACACACAUACACAGACACACAUACACACACACAGACACACAGACACACACACACAGACACAUAUACACACACAUACACACACAGACAGACACACACAGACACACACACAGACACACAGACACACACAGACACACAUACACACACAGACACACACACAGACACACACACAGACACACAUACACAGACACACAUACACACAUACACACACACACACAGACACACAUACACACACAUACACACACACAGACACACAUACACACACACAGACAGACACACACACACAGUGGGAUACUGUUCAGACCUAACAAGGAAGGAAAUUCAGACACCGGCUCCCACACGGAUGAACCUUGGAAACAUGACGCUAAAGACAUCAGCCAGAUACAAAGGGACAAAUCCUGCAGAUGCCAUGCUUCUGAGUACCUGGAAGAGUCAAAUUCACAGACAGAAGUCGCACACUACAAACAACUUUGCUACAGUUGCUGUGCGGGGAGAUGGGGGUGCGAAGCAAAAUGGAGAGAACAAGCCACAGGCUCUUUGGUAGCCCUGCCAGCCCGAGCAGCCCCUCUCUGCUUGAGGAGGCUGAACAGAGAGGAGGCUACCCACGGCGGCUGCAGAGAGUGGUGUGGACUGGCUACCUUCACAAUCUGCCUCAAAGAAAGAAGGCUUUUCCUUUCCGAUCUACUUGUGUUUGAUGGUCCCCCCUCACCUUUCCUUCAACUAGUCCGACCGAAGCUUUGAUCUCAGCAGGCAAGAGAGUGAAUUAACACGGGCCGCGGGCAUCCUCAUCUUUAAGUGAGAGGGCAGUGGCUCAGAGCCAGAGGGCAAGAUCCUGAGCCAAAGACCUAAACAGCGCGAGGAUGCCCGGGACCCCGCGGGCAGAGCAAAGCCUGUGCACCCCACGGGCAUGCGCGCGCUCGUUGCCCGGCGAGAUGCUGGUCUUCGCGCGGCGCGGAUUCACCCGGCGGCCGGAGCAAGCAGGAGGUGGGUUGGGGCCGGGGCCGGGGUGCUGGUCUCAUAACGGGACUCUGCCUCCGCGGAGCGGGCUCUGGGGGGACGUGACCGCAGCCCCAGGUAGGGCGGGCGCACCGUGCACACGUGGAGCGCACGUGGCAGCCUGGCAGGGGUGCCCGGGUUGGCGGGUCUCCCUGCGGCCGGGCAGGUGUGUCUUCUCGCUCGCUCUGGCCCGGGCUGGGGCCUUCCGAGCGGGGGCGGCUCCUGCAGGUUCCUGCAGGUUCGUGCUGGUUUUUUCUUGCUGACGAUAAAGCAGGCAGGAAAGGCACGCGGUGCUCCGAGAUCCGUCUGCGGAAGGGGAAUUGCUACCAGAAGGCUGUUUGGGUUAAAAUUCAGCGGUAGAAAUGCCAGGCU
This is a long non-coding RNA of Mustela lutreola (European mink), 2383 nucleotides long. RefSeq lists it as uncharacterized. The transcript is spliced from 8 exons. NCBI's taxonomy places the organism in Eukaryota, Metazoa, Chordata, Mammalia, Carnivora, Mustelidae. The record is from RefSeq and is a predicted model, not a curated record.